Molecule: ribosomal RNA, 394 nt
Filed under: uncultured bacterium
Lineage: Bacteria
Description: bacterial SSU rRNA
Rfam family: Bacterial small subunit ribosomal RNA
Source: RNAcentral
AAUCAACGCUGGCGGCGUGCCUAACACAUGCAAGUCGAACGCGAAAGUCCCGCAAGGGAUAAGUAGAGUGGCAAACGGGUGAGUAACACGUGGGUGACCUGCCUUCGAGUGGGGGAUAACGUCCCGAAAGGGACGCUAAUACCGCAUAACAUCCUGCUUUUGAACAGGUGGAGAUCAAAGCUGGGGACCCGCAAGGGCCUGGCGCUGGAAGAGGGGCCCGCGUCUGAUUAGCAGUUGGUGGGGUAACGGCUCACCAAGGCAACGAUCAGUAUCCGGCCUGAGAGGGCGGACGGACACACUGGGACUGAGACACGGCCCAGACUCCUACGGGAGGCAGCAGUGGGGAAUUGUUCGCAAUGGGCGCAAGCCUGACGACGCAACGCCGCGUGGAGGA